ACGAAGCUGAUUCUGUUUCUAGACUCUCUUAACCAUUGUGUACUGUAUGAUGACUUUUUUUUUUUUUUAAACAAACUUUUUGUUCCAAUCUGGAAGCAAGAAAAAUCCUGUCUUCUGAGACUUUGGGGUAGUAGUUUGGCAAAUGGAGAAAUCAGACCACAUAGGCCAGCCGCACUCACUUGGGAGUGCUUGUGUGCCGACUCCUCUGCUCGUGUGGUGAAGGUGUUAUGUCACCUCGCAUGAGCAGAGCUCUACACGCGCCUGCCACGCAGCUGUAAACAGCGGGGGCUCGCCGGGCUCAGGUUUUGUAGAGUAAGCUGAUGCAGAGGCACACCGGCUUCUUUGAAGCAUUACUGCAACAUUUGCUAACAGAGAGCAAGAAUAAAGCAACAGGAACACCCCAGCAAGAUGAAUUUGUUCUGUUUAUGCUUCAGCGUGUGCUCAUGUGGCAUAUGACAAGUACAGGAGACUUUAAAGAUGAUCAGCAAAUGGAAUCCAUGAAGCUUGGCCUCUACCCUCUCUCCGUUGGGAGUGCGUGCUGCAUAAGCAACUGCAGUUUGUCUCUCUCCCCCCAAAUGACAUGUGACUCUUACAGUGAGCCAUGUCCUUGA
Molecule: long non-coding RNA, 611 nt
Filed under: Dromaius novaehollandiae (emu)
Lineage: Eukaryota; Metazoa; Chordata; Aves; Casuariiformes; Dromaiidae
Description: lncRNA (ENSDNVG00000011914.1)
Source: RNAcentral